This is a long non-coding RNA of Peromyscus leucopus (white-footed mouse), 3195 nucleotides long. RefSeq lists it as uncharacterized. The transcript is spliced from 2 exons. NCBI's taxonomy places the organism in Eukaryota, Metazoa, Chordata, Mammalia, Rodentia, Cricetidae. The record is from RefSeq and is a predicted model, not a curated record.
UGAUGUCCAUGGCCUGUGUUACCACAGAGGGCUGUAAGAACCAUGUGUGUUGAAAUCCAAGGGCUGUGCUGAGCUAACUCAGCCCUUCACUGACUCUGGAAUAGGUGGCCCUGCCCCCUGGCUGUACACUGCAGCAGGAAAGCUGCUCCUGCCCCUCGUGGGAGAGCUCCCUCCAACCCCACACUCUGGAGAGAUGGUUCCACCCUCACCAUGGGCAUGGGAGAGCUGGCCCCAAUGGCAUGGGGGUAGGAGAACUUGCUCCAUCCCUCACCUGAGGGAUUUGGUCCCAGUGGCCCAUACUGUCCAGCCCAGCCACCACCCAGGCCCACAUCCUGGGCUUGGGUUGGCCCAUCCUAACAUCUACCCUUUCUAGGACCUGCUAGAGCUCAUGAAGGGACUGGUCCUGCUGAACAAUAGCUGCAGGAUCUCCAUGACUGGGAGCAACAGCAGGAUACCUGAGAGGAGUUUCCAUGAGGGUCCAGAGGGGAUGGAGUGUCAGAGGCCUUGAACCAGACCGAUGACUCAUUGUGAUGAACAUUUUGUGGGUGUGGCUGAUUGGACAAAAGGGUGAACUUCAUGACACACCGCAGCUCCGGAUGCCGCUAGGAUGAAUGAAGAAGUGUUGGCGAGAUGGAGGAGCCAGGUGGUAGGAGCAAGGUGGUUUUUUUUUUAAAUUAAUUUGGCGGGGGGAGUGCUGGAGGACUGGAGAGCAGAUAUGGAGGGACUUGGAGGUGAGUGGGAUUGGGGUGCAUAAUGUGAAAUUUCCAAAGAAUAAAGAACGUUAUUAAAAAGAUGUAUUUUAGAUAUUGUAUCAGGAAUAAUUGGUGAAUAAUUCUCAGUUUCUGGUGAAAUUUCACAACAAAAGAAGUUUAAAUAAUUUAGGGUAAGUCCUUUGUUUCUUUUAGUUCAGCUUUGAGCCCAAUGGACCCAAAAGAUGAACGCCAGGAACUUACAGCAAACUGUUUCUUGAAUGAUUUCCUGUUGAAGGGUCAACAGUGGCUGCAGACACUUCUUCAGUGUCGUGGGACUGGGGACACAGGAUUAGGAAGUGUUGUGGGUUCGGGUCCCUUGGCCACACUGUUGCCUCCCUGGUCCCUUCUCUCUGCUGUGUUCACAUUAGAAGCAGUGUUCGUCAUUUGCAGAGCAAGCUUUUUGUUCUUGGUUGCAAGUAUAAUCUAUAGUUUACUUUAGGGGAAAAAAUCAACUCCGAAGAGCUGGAGAAGUCAAGGAAAAAUAGAAUUGAUGAAUGACAAUUUUCCUGGUAAGGUAACUGGUUACUUUUGCAAGUUAAAUUAAGUGACUUAAGUUAAAUUUCCAUUUCCUAAGAGAAAAACAGCAGGUGUUUUCCCCCCACUUGGAGCUUUAGUCUUUUUUUUUUUUUAAUUAAAUUUAUUCUUUGACAGUUUCACACCUGCACAUAAUACACAGUGGUCGCACUUACACCCCAUCCUUUCUUUUUGUUUUGUUUUUAUUUUUUUAGACAGAGUCUCUCUAUGUAGCCCUGGCUGUCCUAGAACUCACAGCUAUCUGCCUUUCUCUUCCUCCUAGGUGCUGGGAUUAAAGGUGCGCACUGCCACACUAACCCCUACCCUUUCUUACCUCCCUCCCAUCCCCGAGGAAGUCCCUCCUUACGAGGCCCUUGUGACCCCUGAGAUGGCAACCUUUGUGGGCGUGGCUGUGGCACAGAGCAGGCUCACAAAUAGCUGCAGCACUUAGGACAGCGCCCCUUCAAGCUUCCAUCAACAGCUGUAGUUUCUCAGGGAGGGACGGGUCCCCAUCCCUCCUCACGACCCAUACAGGCCACUGCGGAUGCCCGAGUUCAUGAUCGCUACACGUUUCAGCAUUCCUCAACAGCCAGCUCAGCUAUUAUUCUGUUCCCUUUAACACAUGAGAAUGAACUGUGUGGUCACUGAAGGCAGUGCCUUGUAGAUGGACCAGAUCUUCACUCAUCAGACAGCAUCCACUGACGAUCUCCACCUGACUCAUGAUUGCUGGAUACUAAUUGCCAAAACCUGCCAUUCCUUUUACAUGUAACGAUUGACCUUUCCUUCCCUGUUCAUCAUUUGCUGCAUCAUUGUGGACUGUAGCCUUGGUUUUCUCUUUCGGGGUGUUGGGGAUUGAACCAAGACAAAGCAUUUUGUCACCAUCACCCCCCAUUCAUAGAUCCCAUUGUCACCAUCACCCCCCAUUCAUAGAUCCCAUUGUCACCAUCACCCCCCAUUCAUAGAUCCCAUUGUCACCAUCACCCCCCCAUUCAUAGAUCCCAUUGUCACCACCCCCCAUUCAUAGAUCCCAUUGUCACUACCACCCCCCAUUCAUAGAUCCCAUUGUCACUACCACACCCCAUUCAUAGAUCCCAUUGUCACUACCACCCCCCAUUCAUAGAUCCCAUUAUCACUAUCACACCCCAUUCAUAGAUCCCAUUGUCACCAUCACCCCCCAUUCAUAGAUCCCAUUAUCACUAUCACACCCAUUCAUAGAUCCCAUUGUCACCAUCACCCCCCAUUCAUAGAUCCCAUUGUCACCAUCACCCCCCAUUCAUAGAUCCCAUUGUCACCAUCACCCCCCAUUCAUAGAUCCCAUUGUCACCAUCACCCCCCAUUCAUAGAUCCCAUUGUCACUACCACACCCCAUUCAUAGAUCCCAUUGUCACUACCACACCCCAUUCAUAGAUCCCAUUGUCACCAUCACCCCCAUUCAUAGAUCCCAUUGUCACCAUCACCCCCCAUUCAUAGAUCCCAUUGUCACCAUCACCCCCCAUUCAUAGAUCCCAUUGUCACCAUCACCCCCAUUCAUAGAUCCCAUUAUCACUAUCACACCCCAUUCAUAGAUCCCAUUGUCACCAUCACCCCCCAUUCAUAGAUCCCAUUAUCACCAUCACACCCCAUUCAUAGAUCCCAUUGUCACCAUCACCCCCCAUUCAUAGAUCCCAUUUUAUUCAAUGAGAUGGUAAUUUGUUACUAACAUUUUUUUUUUAUUUCUAAGUAUUGGCCUGAGCAGUGCGAAUUCAAGCUCUUGUUUACUUUUGACAUUAUCUCUACCAUUCUUUGAGUAUAUUCUUACUAUAAAACAAAGAUAUUCCAUGCUCAUCUUUGUAUUUCCUCUGCACUAGCUAUGAAAUAGGCAAUUUUUCUAAGAUCUGGUUCCAUUUGUGGAAAAUGUUAUUUUUCUAGAAUAAACUUCUUACUACAUUUA